CCUACGGGAGGCUGCAGUGGGGAAUAUUGGACAAUGGGCGAAAGCCUGAUCCAGCCAUGCCGCGUGUGUGAAGAAGGCCUUCGGGUUGUAAAGCACUUUCAGUGGGGAAGAAAGCCUUGGGGCUAAUACCCUCGAGGAAGGACAUCACCCACAGAAGAAGCACCGGCUAACUCCGUGCCAGCAGCCGCGGUAAUACGGAGGGUGCGAGCGUUAAUCGGAAUUACUGGGCGUAAAGCGCGCGUAGGCGGUCUGAUAAGCCGGUUGUGAAAGCCCCGGGCUCAACCUGGGAACGGCAUCCGGAACUGUCAGGCUAGAGAGCAGGAGAGGAAGGUAGAAUUCCCGGUGUAGCGGUGAAAUGCGUAGAGAUCGGGAGGAAUACCAGUGGCGAAGGCGGCCUUCUGGACUGACACUGACGCUGAGGUGCGAAAGCGUGGGUAGCAAACAGGAUUAGAUACCCUGGUAGUC
RNAcentral lists this ribosomal RNA (465 nucleotides) under Vreelandella stevensii. RNAcentral's name for it is "partial 16S ribosomal RNA". It matches the Rfam family "Bacterial small subunit ribosomal RNA", at positions 338 to 795 of the family's 1533-position model. Lineage: Bacteria; Pseudomonadati; Pseudomonadota; Gammaproteobacteria; Oceanospirillales; Halomonadaceae. The record is from RNAcentral.